RNAcentral lists this long non-coding RNA (308 nucleotides) under Heterocephalus glaber (naked mole-rat). Its description in RNAcentral is "lncRNA (ENSHGLG00100048351.1)". The record is from RNAcentral. Lineage: Eukaryota; Metazoa; Chordata; Mammalia; Rodentia; Bathyergidae.
AGGAGCUCAAGUUUUUACCUUGCCUUUGGACACUUAUCUCCAUUUCCUUCAGGCUUCUAGUGUGGACUCUUCGACUUUGCAGCAAACACCCUUCAGCUUCUGACCUGGACUCACAUGAACUCACUGAGCUCCAGAACUUCAACCUUUGACUGGACAUUUUGGCUCUCCAGCAGGCAGAUGGCCUUUUGCAUUAUUUCACCUCUGAUUCUGCAGGGUGGAAAAUUAGCUUUGACCAAGCAGAAGAGAACAAACCCUUAGACAAUGACAGAGGAGCAGAUGAAGAGGACUGGAAGUACAGAUGUUAUAGA